AAUGGGGGAAACCCUGAUGCAGCAACGCCGCGUGAGUGAUGAAGGCCUUCGGGUUGUAAAGCUCUGUCUUCGCUGACGAAGUUUUGACGGUAAGCGAGGAGGAAGCCACGGCUAACUACGUGCCAGCAGCCGCGGUAAUACGUAGGUGGCAAGCGUUGUCCGGAAUUAUUGGGCGUAAAGGAUGCGUAGGCGGUCCUUUAAGUGGGAUGUGAAAUCCCUGGGCUUAACCCAGGAAUUGCAUUCCAAACUGGAGGACUAGAGUGCAGGAGAGGAAAGUGGAAUUCCCAGUGUAGCGGUGAAAUGCGUAGAGAUUGGGAGGAACACCAGUGGCGAAGGCGGCUUUCUGGACUGUAACUGACGCUGAGGCAUGAAAGCGUGGGGAGCAAA
This 387-nucleotide ribosomal RNA is filed under the name uncultured bacterium. Its description in RNAcentral is "bacterial SSU rRNA". It matches the Rfam family "Bacterial small subunit ribosomal RNA", at positions 370 to 772 of the family's 1533-position model. The record is from RNAcentral.